Long non-coding RNA from Dalotia coriaria, 1142 nucleotides. RefSeq lists it as uncharacterized. NCBI's taxonomy places the organism in Eukaryota, Metazoa, Arthropoda, Insecta, Coleoptera, Staphylinidae. The transcript is spliced from 2 exons. The record is from RefSeq and is a predicted model, not a curated record.
CCCGCGCAUCGGGAACGAGGGACGAGCUGAGCGCGGGGGUAUAGUUAACAUUGACACAGCGCCGCGCAAUGUGACAUUACAUUACAGCGCAAUAAUUGCAUACACCAACAAUGCGCGCACACGCAUGCGUCCCUCUGUUGUAUACAUCUAAUGCUAGGGAGCUGUAGCGGCAUCACCGCAAACACGGCUAAUGUUUGGCCCUCGGAUUAGGAUCAGACAUCAAUGCGAGCAUGGGAAGCAGGACCCCACCCCCCGGAGACCCCUCUCUUUUGGACCAUUUCCUCAAAUUACACAAUCGUCAAUUUAAACAAUCUGCCUACUCAAAAUGCGUCGCAUAGCAAUACAAUGUAUUACCCCAGAAAUGAAGUUACUUUUUCAGAAAACAGUGUCAUUUUGGCCCAUGAACAUCCUAAAUUAAUAUAAUCAUCAAAUUUCGACACUCAACAUGGCUUCAAUUUCAACAAUUCCGUCCAAACAUCAAGUCGAGCAUGACCACAAACAAAUUCAGGUGAACACUUUGGACGAAGAACCACGUGCGCGAUACAGAUGCAAGCACAAUCGAACAGACAACUAUACAAUAUUUCGGACUCAAUUACGUGAACUUCAGAAUCUUUUACAACUCUCCAAGGAAUGUCGCAAUACGCUGGAUACGUUAGAAUGCCCUGACAAAAGCAAUGCUGGCGAUUCAGAAUCAGUUGGUGAUAAUGAGUAUUAUGAUUAUGAAUCUGAGAACAGCGAAAAGACAUCGGUUUCCACCAGUGCUCAUUCAUUUCUGAUCGACAAGUUGACAGCUGUCAAAUACAAAGUUCCAGCUCAUCUCCUAGAAUUAGAUCCCGCCGGAAAUCUCAUGGAAUAUAAAGGAUGCUAUGUGUGUACCAGCGAAUUUGUCGAAUGGUGGAUUAACGAUGGUCCAACGCCCAGCAAUUCUGGUGUGCAAAAACUGGUCCGAUAUUUUUACAAUCGCAAUCACCUUCCUGGUGUUGUCAGCACAUCAAGCAUUCCCUAUCGGACAUCAGAUGAGUUAUUCGAAAAAGAAUUAUGUAUACAUGAAAACUAUUCCAGCAGUUGUACAUCUGUAGAACUAUAGCACUUUGUUUAACCUUAAAACCAAUAUAUACAAAAAUAUACGAUGAUAUGAAGUA